UUAGGCCUAACACAUGCAAGUCGAACGAGAUCUUCGGAUCUAGUGGCGCACGGGUGCGUAACGCGUGGGAAUCUGCCCUGGGGUGCGGAAUAACUCUCCGAAAGGAGUGCUAAUACCGCAUAAUGUCUUCGGACCAAAGAUUUAUCGCCCUGGGAUGAGCCCGCGUUGGAUUAGCUAGUUGGUGGGGUAAAAGCCUACCAAGGCGACGAUCCAUAGCUGGUCUGAGAGGAUGAUCAGCCACACUGGGACUGAGACACGGCCCAGACUCCUACGGGAGGCAGCAGUGGGGAAUAUUGGACAAUGGGCGAAAGCCUGAUCCAGCAAUGCCGCGUGAGUGAUGAAGGCCUUAGGGUUGUAAAGCUCUUUUACCAGGGAUGAUAAUGACAGUACCUGGAGAAUAAGCUCCGGCUAACUCCGUGCCAGCAGCCGCGGUAAUACGGAGGGAGCUAGCGUUGUUCGGAAUUACUGGGCGUAAAGCGCGCGUAGGCGGUCCAUCAAGUCAGAGGUGAAAGCCCGGGGCUCAACCCCGGAACUGCCUUUGAAACUGGCGGACUAGAAUCUUGGAGAGGCGAGUGGAAUUCCGAGUGUAGAGGUGAAAUUCGUAAAUAUUCGGAAGAACACCAGUGGCGAAGGCGACUCGCUGGACAAGUAUUGACGCUGAGGUGCGAAACCGUGGGGAGCAAACGGGAUUAAAUACCCGGGUAGUCCACGCCGUAAACGAUG
Molecule: ribosomal RNA, 723 nt
Filed under: uncultured bacterium
Lineage: Bacteria
Description: bacterial SSU rRNA
Rfam family: Bacterial small subunit ribosomal RNA
Source: RNAcentral